GGAGUCGUGUCUGGACAGCUCAUGGUAAAACCUAAGUUAUCCUCAAACGAUUAC
This 54-nucleotide microRNA precursor is filed under the name Ciona intestinalis (vase tunicate). RNAcentral's name for it is "microRNA cin-mir-4148 precursor". The record is from miRBase by way of RNAcentral. Lineage: Eukaryota; Metazoa; Chordata; Ascidiacea; Phlebobranchia; Cionidae.